UGCCUAAUCUCGCUGGCAUGAAUGCCCUCAACUACUUAGAUAUGAGCAAUAAUACAUUCAGCUCAGCUGAUUUUCCACAGUGGUUUUCAUCUUUGCAGUCAUUGACGACUUUGGUAAUGGAGAACACUCAACUUCAAGGAGAAAUUCCGCCAACCCUCUUCAGUCUUUUUCAGUUACAGACUGUGUGAGUGUUCUUUUACUUUUAGGCCACAGUGCAUGUCAUGCAACUAUUCUCAUUUUUUGAUGCGUGCUAGACUUGUAACGAAGUUUGAGGUAGUACAAAGUGACCUAGUAUAUGAUUCUAUGUUUUGUAUUUCAAUUUUACGACAAUGAGGUGGUUAUUAUGACAGCAACUUGAGGGGAAACAAGAUCAAUGGAACCCUGAAUAUUGUAUCCAACUAUAGCGGUCAACUAAAACUGAUUGAUUUGCAGAACAAUUCCAUCGAUUCAUAUAUAGUAAGACCUGGAUUUUCUUUUCAAAUACUGUAAGUCCUCGAGUCACUUUUUCUCCACUUUAGCAAUGAGAAAGAAAUGUUGGAUCAUUCAUGUUAGGACAAUUGAUUCUUCUGAAUACAAUUUAGUCGUUUAACAAUCUCAGUUUUCUACUUGUUCACUUGGCAGACUUAUGCAUAAUCCAGUUUGUUAUGAAGAAGGAUCAGAAGACUACUGUGGCAAUUCCCAAACGAACUUUGGAUAUUCAAUUCCACAAGAUAAUUGCCUUAAAACACAAUGCAGCUUUGAUCAAAUUCUUAGCACCUUCCUUUUCCGACUUGACAAACACAAGCAUUUAUGAGUCACUUCAGAAGUCUAUGCUAUCAUAUUUUAGCCAAAAUCAUGUGCCUGUAGAUUCAGUUUCCUUGAGUAAUCCAAAAAAGAAUUCAAAGUACUACCUUGUGUUACACCUGCAAGUUUUUCCAUUUGGCCAAGUUCAUUUCAACCGUGCAGGGAUUGCCACAAUUAGAUUUGCACUUAGAAAUUGGUUUUAAGACCAGUGGGUCAUAAAUUUUGAAAUGUUUAAUGAAAAUCCAUGUCACUUUUGCCAUGUCAGCAGGCUGUUAAAAAAGGCAAUUUUAAACCUUAAAAAAACGUUAAGGGCAUUUUUAAACUAAUAGAUGGAAGGAGGGCAUU
This is a non-coding RNA of Solanum lycopersicum (tomato), 1128 nucleotides long. The record is from RefSeq and is a predicted model, not a curated record. Lineage: Eukaryota; Viridiplantae; Streptophyta; Magnoliopsida; Solanales; Solanaceae.